GGCCCCGUUUGGUAGGGCUUCUCAAAGUGCUUCUCCACCGGCUUUUGAUGAAGCCCUACCAAAGGGUCAAUUUCAAAACGGCUUCACCACCAAAGCCGAGGAGAAGCCACAAAACGGCUUACACUAGAGAGGAGAAGCCGAAAAAAGUGGCUUCACCGGCUUCUCCUCUCUCUCCAAGCAUUAAGUGAUCAUAAAAUUACAUAUAUUGCCAUUGAGAAGCCGUUUUACCAAACGUUUUGCAAAACGGCUUUAGCUUCACUAAAAAAGCCACUCCACCGAAGAAGCCGAAGCCGAAGCCGUUUUAUGAGAAGCCGAAGCUCUACCAAACGGG
RNAcentral lists this long non-coding RNA (331 nucleotides) under Setaria italica (foxtail millet). RNAcentral describes it as "long non-coding RNA (SITA_LNC006668)". The record is from RNAcentral. Lineage: Eukaryota; Viridiplantae; Streptophyta; Magnoliopsida; Poales; Poaceae.